AAAACUUUCAACAACGGAUCUCUUGGUUCUGGCAUCGAUGAAGAACGCAGCGAAAUGCGAUAAGUAAUGCGAAUUGCAGAUACCGUGAGUCAUCGAAUCUUUGAACGCACAUUGCGCCCUUUGGUAUUCCGAAGGGCAUGCCUGUUCGAGCGUCAUUA
Molecule: ribosomal RNA, 158 nt
Filed under: Pyrenula nitida
Lineage: Eukaryota; Fungi; Ascomycota; Eurotiomycetes; Pyrenulales; Pyrenulaceae
Description: 5.8S ribosomal RNA
Rfam family: 5.8S ribosomal RNA
About the family: 5.8S ribosomal RNA (5.8S rRNA) is a component of the large subunit of the eukaryotic ribosome.
Source: RNAcentral